GGCUCAAAUCUGAGGUAAGGGAGAUCAGUAAGGUCUGAGCUUAUCCUACUAUACUACUGUACUUCGAAAUUGGGCCC
This 77-nucleotide microRNA precursor is filed under the name Haemonchus placei. Its description in RNAcentral is "mir-5928 microRNA precursor family". It matches the Rfam family "mir-5928 microRNA precursor family". Lineage: Eukaryota; Metazoa; Nematoda; Chromadorea; Rhabditida; Trichostrongylidae. The record is from Rfam by way of RNAcentral.